RNAcentral lists this ribosomal RNA (979 nucleotides) under Brevibacterium aurantiacum. RNAcentral describes it as "partial 23S ribosomal RNA". It matches the Rfam family "Bacterial large subunit ribosomal RNA", at positions 1964 to 2925 of the family's 2925-position model. The record is from RNAcentral. Lineage: Bacteria; Bacillati; Actinomycetota; Actinomycetes; Micrococcales; Brevibacteriaceae.
AUUCCUUGUCGGGUAAGUUCCGACCUGCACGAAUGGCGUAAUGAUGGCCAGGCUGUCUCCACCCGAGACUCAGUGAAAUUGAACUCGCUGUGAAGAUGCAGUGUACCCGCGGCAAGACGGAAAGACCCCGUGAACCUUUACUAUAGCUUGACACUGAACACUGGUCCUUGAUGUGUAGGAUAGGUGGGAGGCUUUGAAGUGUGGACGCCAGUCUGCAUGGAGCCGUCCUUGAAAUACCACCCUUUAAUGGCUGGUGUUCUAACGUAGACCCGUAAUCCGGGUUGCGGACAGUGUCUGGUGGGUAGUUUGACUGGGGCGGUCUCCUCCCAAAGAGUAACGGAGGAGCACGAAGGUUAGCUAAUCCUGGUCGGACAUCAGGAGGUUAGUGCAAUGGCAUAAGCUAGCUUGACUGCGAGAGUGACGGCUCGAGCAGGUGCGAAAGCAGGUCAUAGUGAUCCGGUGGUUCUGAAUGGAAGGGCCAUCGCUCAACGGAUAAAAGGUACUCCGGGGAUAACAGGCUGAUACCGCCCAAGAGUUCAUAUCGACGGCGGUGUUUGGCACCUCGAUGUCGGCUCAUCACAUCCUGGGGCUGAAGUAGGUCCCAAGGGUAUGGCUGUUCGCCAUUUAAAGUGGUACGCGAGCUGGGUUUAGAACGUCGUGAGACAGUUCGGUCCCUAUCUGCCGUGGGCGCUGGAGAAUUGAGGGGGGCUGCUCCUAGUACGAGAGGACCGGAGUGGACGCAUCACUGGUGUUCGGGUUGUCAUGCCAAUGGCACUGCCCGGUAGCUAAAUGCGGAAGAGAUAAGUGCUGAAAGCAUCUAAGCACGAAACUUGCCCCGAGAUGAGUUCUCCCUGAGCCUUUAAGGCUCCUGAAGGAACGUUGAAGACGACGACGUUGAUAGGUCGGGUGUGUAAGCGCAGCGAUGCGUUGAGCUAACCGAUACUAAUGAACCGUGAGGCUUAACCUUACAACGCCGAAG